UCCGAUGAUGGCAUGAAAUCUUUGAGACCUGAUUCUUUAAUUUGAUGACAACUGUAAGCAUUACACGCUGAGGUC
Citrus sinensis (sweet orange) is the source of this 75-nucleotide non-coding RNA. The record is from Rfam. Lineage: Eukaryota; Viridiplantae; Streptophyta; Magnoliopsida; Sapindales; Rutaceae.